AUUGAACGCUGGCGGCAGGCCUAACACAUGCAAGUCGAGCGGAUGAAGGGAGCUUGCUCCUGGAUUCAGCGGCGGACGGGUGAGUAAUGCCUAGGAAUCUGCCUGGUAGUGGGGGAUAACGUCCGGAAACGGGCGCUAAUACCGCAUACGUCCUGAGGGAGAAAGUGGGGGAUCUUCGGACCUCACGCUAUCAGAUGAGCCUAGGUCGGAUUAGCUAGUUGGUGGGGUAAAGGCCUACCAAGGCGACGAUCCGUAACUGGUCUGAGAGGAUGAUCAGUCACACUGGAACUGAGACACGGUCCAGACUCCUACGGGAGGCAGCAGUGGGGAAUAUGGGACAAUGGGCGAAAGCCUGAUCCAGCCAUGCCGCGUGUGUGAAGAAGGUCUGCGGAUUGUAAAGCACUUUAAGUUGGGAGGAAGGGCAGUAAGUUAAUACCUGGCUGUUUUGACGUUACCAACAGAAUAAGCACCGGCUAACUUCGU
This 483-nucleotide ribosomal RNA is filed under the name uncultured bacterium. RNAcentral's name for it is "partial 16S ribosomal RNA". It matches the Rfam family "Bacterial small subunit ribosomal RNA", at positions 30 to 506 of the family's 1533-position model. The record is from RNAcentral.